RNAcentral lists this ribosomal RNA (374 nucleotides) under uncultured bacterium. RNAcentral describes it as "bacterial SSU rRNA". It matches the Rfam family "Bacterial small subunit ribosomal RNA", at positions 524 to 898 of the family's 1533-position model. The record is from RNAcentral.
UACGUAGGUGGCAAGCGUUGUCCGGAUUUACUGGGCGUAAAGCGUGCGCAGGCGGUUCGGAAAGAAAGAUGUGAAAUCCCAGAGCUUAACUUUGGAACUGCAUUUUUAACUACCGGGCUAGAGUGUGUCAGAGGGAGGUGGAAUUCCGCGUGUAGCAGUGAAAUGCGUAGAUAUGCGGAGGAACACCGAUGGCGAAGGCAGCCUCCUGGGAUAACACUGACGCUCAUGCACGAAAGCGUGGGGAGCAAACAGGAUUAGAUACCCUGGUAGUCCACGCCCUAAACGAUGUCAACUAGCUGUUGGGGCCUUCGGGCCUUAGUAGCGCAGCUAACGCGUGAAGUUGACCGCCUGGGGAGUACGGUCGCAAGAUUAAA